This 505-nucleotide ribosomal RNA is filed under the name uncultured bacterium. RNAcentral's name for it is "partial 16S ribosomal RNA". It matches the Rfam family "Bacterial small subunit ribosomal RNA", at positions 28 to 507 of the family's 1533-position model. The record is from RNAcentral.
GACGAACGCUGGCGGCGUGCCUAAUACAUGCAAGUAGAACGCACAGUUUAUACCGUAGCUUGCUACACCAUAAACUGUGAGUUGCGAACGGGUGAGUAACGCGUAGGUAACCUGCCUGGUAGCGGGGGAUAACUAUUGGAAACGAUAGCUAAUACCGCAUAAUAUUGAUUAUUGCAUGAUAAUUGAUUGAAAGAUGCUAUUGCAUCACUACCAGAUGGACCUGCGUUGUAUUAGCUAGUAGGUGAGGUAACGGCUCACCUAGGCGACGAUACAUAGCCGACCUGAGAGGGUGAUCGGCCCCACUGGGACUGAGACACGGCCCAGACUCCUACGGGAGGCAGCAGUAGGGAAUCUUCGGCAAUGGACGAAAGUCUGACCGAGCAACGCCGCGUGAGUGAAGAAGGUUUUCGGAUCGUAAAGCUCUGUUGUAAGAGAAGAACGGGUGUGAGAGUGGAAAGUUCACACUGUGACGGUAUCUUACCAGAAAGGGACGGCUAACUACGUG